RNAcentral lists this ribosomal RNA (301 nucleotides) under uncultured bacterium. RNAcentral's name for it is "partial 16S ribosomal RNA". It matches the Rfam family "Bacterial small subunit ribosomal RNA", at positions 509 to 807 of the family's 1533-position model. The record is from RNAcentral.
CAGCCGCCGCGGUAAUACAGAGGUCCCGAGCGUUGUUCGGAUUCACUGGGCGUAAAGGGUGUGUAGGAGGUUGGAUAAGUCAGGUGUGAAAUCCCGCAGCUCAACUGCGGAACUGCAUUCGAUACUGUUCAACUAGAGGAUCGGAGGGGGAAGCGGAAUUCUUGGUGUAACGGUGAAAUGCGUAGAUAUCAAGAGGAACACCGGUGGCGAAGGCGGCUUCCUGGAAGAUACCUGACUCUGAAACACGAAAGCCAGGGGAGCGAAUGGGAUUAGAUACCCCCGUAGUCCCUGUCUCUUAUAC